GCUUAAAAUCCAAAGGACUUGACGGUGCCCCAUCCCCCUAGAGGAGCCUGUUCUAUAAUCGAUGACCCCCGCUACACCUCACCACUUUUUGCUUCCAUGCAGCCUGUAUACCUCCGUCGUAAGCUUGCCAUAUGAAUGUUUUAUAGCGGGCUCAAUGAUCCUGUUUCAUCAGCACGUCAGGUCAAGGUGCAGCCUAUGAAGUGGCAAGAAAUGGGCUACAAUUUCUAAUUUAGAACAAACGAACAACCAUCUGAAACUAUGGCUACAGAAGGUGGAUUUAGUAGUAAAAGGGGAAAAUAGCGCCCCCUUUAAUAGCGGCCAUGGGACAUGUACAAACCGCCCGUCACCCUCUUCAAUAGCAUUAUUAUAGUAUAUAACAUACCACCGCACUUUAGAAGAGGCAAGUCGUAACACGGUAAGCGUACUGGAAAGUGCACUUGGAUAUACAAAACGUAGCUUAGUAAAGUUUUUCGCUUACACCGAAAGGACGUCUGUUGAAAUCAGAUCGUUUUGAGCUAUAAAUCUA
This 526-nucleotide ribosomal RNA is filed under the name Boophis picturatus. RNAcentral describes it as "partial 12S ribosomal RNA". The stretch from base 1 to 453 matches the Rfam family "Bacterial small subunit ribosomal RNA", at positions 892 to 1533 of the family's 1533-position model. The record is from RNAcentral. Lineage: Eukaryota; Metazoa; Chordata; Amphibia; Anura; Mantellidae.